Lycium barbarum (goji berry) is the source of this 103-nucleotide small nuclear RNA. The record is from RefSeq and is a predicted model, not a curated record. Lineage: Eukaryota; Viridiplantae; Streptophyta; Magnoliopsida; Solanales; Solanaceae.
GUACCUUCCGGCAAAUCCGAUUAUAUUGGAAUGAUACAUAAGAAAUUAGUAUGGCCCCUUCAUAAGAAUGACACGCACAAAUUGAGAAAUGGUCCAAAUUUAC